This 9457-nucleotide long non-coding RNA is filed under the name Gallus gallus (chicken). Its description in RNAcentral is "lncRNA (ENSGALG00010023645.1)". The record is from RNAcentral. Lineage: Eukaryota; Metazoa; Chordata; Aves; Galliformes; Phasianidae.
CUGCGCGUGGCCGCAGUACGGGGCACAGCCCGCCCGCCGCAGCUACCCGUAGCAUCGUGUCAAGGCCAGGGGGCAGCUGGUGCUGCCCAGACACGAGGCCCUUCUGAGCUCUCACCUGACGCCCAUACGUCCGACAUCCCUCUGCUCCCUCCUUGCCGCAGCCCGCGGGCCUAUCUCACACGGAGCAGUCCAGCUGGUGCUGCCCCAAACCGAAGGAGAUGGCGUCUUCUCCUAGCUUGCUUACACGGAGCCACAGGAGCAGUGCCACGGAACACAACCACAUUACAUCGGGGGAGGCAACCUAAUGGCCAAGUGGGGCUUCAGUCAGGGUGUACACAUUUCACCACGUGCAGACAAACUUGUGUAGUGUAUUAAAGUCUAUGGCCAUUUUAAUCUCUUAUGGGGGGGGGGGGAAGCAAGGUUCAUGUGAAUUCUUUAAUUAGACAUGAAAUUGCCAUGCAAAGACACUAAGGAAGUAUGUGGUUAUGCAACUGGAGCCCUAGAGGAAAAAGUAAACAAUUUUACUGAGAAAAACAGAUUGAAAACAAUGAUGACAUUAAGAGGGAAAUGGCUGGAGGUUUGGGCUCUCUGUUUUUUUCCCCUUCCCUUUUGAAGCCUAAGAACAUCUGCAGGUCAUCUUCAACUUGGUCCCUCUUUGGUGUUGCUCAGUAUAUACUGCUUCAGUACCGUGGUCAUUCUUGACUGGAACUUGGUACACAGCUCUGUACAGGAGCUCCAGCAUUAGGAGCCGUAGCAUCAGCACUUUUCUCGGUCACUAAGGGAAUGCAUCUCAUCUGAGCCAAGCCCUUUUUUAUGCCAAAAUUUUGCAAGUUAUUUAACAUGCCUAGAAGCCCCAAACCCACCAUGGUGUGCUGCUGAAAGGCAGCUGGCAUAACCAAGCGCCUGGCCUUGCACAUACCAUGGCUCUGGGACCACCACCGGGCAGCUUGGUUCCCAGGGCUGCGCUUGGCGUGGGGUGUCCUUUGUGUAGCACCAGGCUCUGGCUUACAGCAUCGUGCCCAGCCCUCCCUGGCAUACCCUGCUAGGUUAAGCAAGGCGACUUGGCUAGUUUGGCAAAGGGAAUAAAGCCCUUAAAAAUGUGAUGUGGUGAGAUAGCAUUAAAAUCCAGGAUGUGUGCCUUCAAGAGUCAAGGACAUAGCUUAAAACAAAACAAAACAAAAUUAAAAAAAAAAAAAAGCGAGAAGAAUAGGAAGAGAAGGCACACCAUGUGAUUGUAAGUUACUGAGAAGGAACUUCACAUGUGAGCUGAGGAAAUGCAGCAUUGUAAACGUGCUAUUUAUAUAGUGCUGAAAGUGUACUUUUACAGGGACAUAAACACUCUUCACUCCAGUGCAUAUAAUCUGCCCUUCUGAAGCAGAUCAAGACAGUGCCCUGUUAGAGCCGAUUCAAUCUAAGGUCAAAAACCAAAUAAAUCUCAACUUUGAGAAACUUCAAACCAAAAUUUGGUCUGGGCCGAAGUCAUUCGACUGGACCAAGCCUUUCCCAUAACAAAAAUGAUCCUCCGAAUACUGAAGCCUGAACUGAAUUUUAAUUGCAAAAGAUCAUGAGAUUUAAAGAACAACAAAUGCAGCCAUUUGUAGAGCAUGCAUGCUGAGGUCCAAGAUCUACUUCUGUUUCUCCCCUUGUCUUCAGCUCUUACAUGACCCAAUCAUGAAGAAAAGAUGUCAAAUGCCACCAGCACCAGCUGGAGAGCAUCUUGGUUGAACCCUGGUCUGAGUUUAUGUGAGAGGUAGCCCCAAGCCAGCCCACCAGCAUGGAAAUAGACCAGCAAGUAAAAUGUUACUGUGAGGAGAGCGAGGACUGCUUCAAAUCAGACAGAGCUUGCCAGAACAUAAUGGUGGCUUGUAACACAGCUAAUCAUGCCGAAUAAAACAGAGCCUUAAAUACAUUCAGGACUAGAUUCUCAAUGGACCCUUCCAUUUAGCAUGUGGCAUCAAUUUUUUUUUUCCCUAACCAACUGUAUUUGGUACCACAAGGGAUGGUUAAUACAAUUUCAAAAAAAAAAAAAAAUUCAAAAAAUAUGAAUAAAUAACCAUAAGUUGUUUACACAAAUAAACAUUCCAGGACGUGGGAUUUUAUUCAGUAAUUGCCAUAUUGGUCAUAAAACAUGCCUGAAAACCCAAAGUACUACUUUAUUGCAUUUAGCAGCAACAAUUAGCCUCUCAAUUUUUCACUGUUUUAACAGACAUGAUGGCUUUCUACUGUGAGAAUAGGCUAAAAAAAUAAGCAACGAACAAACACAACCAAAAAGCAGGCUCUUCUGUACAACCAUACGCUCCAUAGGCUUACACGCAAAAAGCCUGAGCUGUGUUUCAUGAGGCAAAAGAAACAAACGGGCGGCAGACCAUUUUCCUUCCUACAUGAGGCACUAUCUAGAGGAGAGGGAGCAGCGAGGAGUUUUGUUGCAAGGCUCUCUCAGAUGUACCACAGGCAAUUCCUUGCUGCUGAGGACCAGAAUAAGGGCAAAAGUGGAAACAAUAGGAAAAGGUACAGUCCUUAAUGCAUCACUUGCUCUAUUCCAUUGUCCACGAAACAACAGAAGUGAUGGUUGGACGUGAUGACCUUAGAAAUCUUCUCCAACUUUAAUGAUCCUAUGAAUUUUUACACUGAACCAUUUCUGUAAAACAGAGAGCAUAAGUUUUGCAAGAGGGGGGUGUUUGUGAGCUGGAACAUUUUUUCUUUGCAGAAGAUUAAUCAAGAUAAAUAAGUCAUUUGGAAACGCUUGUAGUAGAUAUUCAGGUAGACACCUGAAGCCACCACAAGGCACAAAGUCACAUCAAGAGGACUCACUUUAUGUAGACUCUUGCAGGUUCAAGACAAGAGAAGUACAGCUGUGACAGAAACUGGGGGAUUCCACUCAGGUGAACUGCAGAUGUGAGCAAAGAUACACAUAACUGAUGCAGCACAGUUACCUCGCAAUUUGGAUAAUUAACCCAUGGGUAAUCAAGUAUUGAUGGCAUUGCACUAACUGCAGAAACUAUGUCCUAGAAACAUUACUGGGAAUAUCCAUCCUGUGUUUUCACCUCCUAGAAGUCCGAUUUGGACAGCUGACUGACCUACUUCCAGCAUGUCACUGUUCCCAGCACACCAACCCCUAUCCCUAAACACAUGGUUGCUUCCAGCAAGGGAGAGAAAAGGAGGACUGGGCUACAGAUGUUCCUCGCGCAUACAAUCAACACGGCCCUCCCCCACCAAAGUUUAAUAAGGAUUGUUAGUACAUCAUUGUAGCUGGUAAUUGUGUAGGUACACAUGGUAAUUGCAUGUAUUUGCACUAAUUAUGUAAAUGCACAAUAAUUAAAGCUCCAGGGUUUUCAUGGUAAAUUUUUAAAACACUCAUGGAUUUGUCAUGGCAAAAGUGUCAGUCAUGUAACCUAGUGGGGAAGAAAAGGAGGAGGAGGCUCAGGAGUGCACACUUCUUAAAUAAAAACAGACAUUUUUGCAUGAGUAACUGGAGAGGGGAUACCAUUUUAUCAUCAAACAGAACUGUCAUGCCUGGGUACAACUUCUUUCAGACUCUCUUAUCAGUUAGAAUAAUAAUAAUUAAAAAUUAAAAAAAAAAAUAUUGGUUUUCAUGGUAGGUCAUUGCUAAUGCUCAAAUACUCCCUGCCUUCUAUCCUGGCUUUCCCCACCCACCCUGCACUGCAGGUCUCAGGGCUUCCCUCUGCUCUGUGCUGCAGGGAUGAGCAAGCCUCUGCUUGGCGGGCAUGGAGGGGCCUGGGCAGUUCAGUGCUCCUUAACAACUGCAGCCGCAGAAGGAAAGGGAGCUUUGCAAACACACAGCAUGCAUCUCACUGCGAGGCAUGCAGACAAGCAGCGUAGCUGGUGUUCAGCCUCAUUGGCCACCGUACAGCUCCCUGAGCAGCCCUACUGUGCCAUGCUGGGCUCACAGGUCCUGCUCAGUGGGCAGUAUGACAGAGAGCUGUGACAUGGAGCACCAACUAGAUGUUUCACACUAAAAGCUGGCUGCUCCAAAACACACUGUGUGAGGUUUUAAUCCCUUCAGCCACAUGCUCCUUUUAUGGGUGAUACCUGCACUCAUGACACUUGCAUCCACUGGGAAGGCACCAACCUGACUUGUGCUUAAGCAGAAAUAUUCUUCCCUGUGCCACCUCAUUGCAGGUGUUCUUGUUGGCCCACACAGCACCUCUGCAGGAUUGCUUACUCAUACACAGCUUCCUCAGGACCGUUGCAACCAAGAGCCAGUACAAGAGCUUUAAGCUACCGAGGCCAAAUACCUAAAGACAAGACACAAAGGGGAGCUUCCUUGGGAUUUACAACACAGCUUUAAGAGGAUUUGGGGGACACACAGCCACACAGUUAUUUAUGUAAACCUAAGUCUAUAUACGUGGAUCAAAAAACUCCACAUACAUGGCAACUACUUUCAUUAUGCCCCAGCACAUUCCAUAUCGUUCAGGUGUUGUUUUCUUUUAGUCAUUUCUUUGAAGACACUUUAAAAAAAAUCAAAGCUAAAUUAAAACAAAACAUAAAACUAUAUGAUAAAAACUGAACAAAUCUAGUGAUACAAAAGUUAUGUUAAAAGCAGAUUUUAAUUGCUGGCGUCCAAUUAAACAAGAGAAGCUACCUUGUAUAGUGACUAUUUUCUACUUCAUUUCUAAGAAUGGACAUAUUUUCAGGAUUUUUUUUUUAUUUCCUAUGGUGUUAAGAAUGUCUGUAUCCAUGCCUGAUAGAGAUUAAAGAAAGCAAAGCAUCAUCUUAAACUUUUGGAUUUGCGGAAACAUGUUUGUUAAUGCACUGAGAAUCUUGAAGGAGUACAGGAGGAUUUCACACAACUAACUGUACUCCUUCUGAUAAUAAAUAAAUAAACGUUGCUAAAACAGUGAUCUGUUGAAUUAAUUUCCUUUAGUUUUACAAUAAAUUCAUCUGUUCCUCAGGUAAUGGGUAGAGGGUGUCUAAAAUUCUUUAAAUACAGGGUUUGUGUUCAGGACUGGAAAGCAGCUGAGUUGGGUUAUCUGUCUGUAGGGAAUUGUCCAUCUGUCUGUAGGGAAUUUAUUUUGGCUUGUUUUUGUUGUACAGCAGCAUUGUGAGGCUAAGUUAGUGCUUUAAUUUUUGUUAAUGCAGGACCAAAGGUCUUUCAGAUGUUUAUGUCUAGUGGCAGCUCGUAUCAUAAAUACUUGCUUCCAGCAUCAUGACUACACAGACUGAGUAAGCCUUCAAUCCAGCAAGGUCCCUCAGACUUGGUGCUUCUUCACAUGCCACACAAAUAUGCUUACUCAGGCAGGAAAAAAAUGCCUAAUUUAUGAGAAGUGUUUUGGUUCAUCAGAUUUGCAAAAGCAGUUUGGUGGUACAGCUGACAUUCAGAUUCCUUCGCAAGAAGAGUUGGAAGGUUGUCCUUUCUGAAAGUCAUGUCCAUGGUGUCUCAAGUUGAUAGCAUGAGCAUGAAAACACCUGCAGUUAGCAGUGGGCCUAUUUCCUACUUCUGUGUGAUUCUUUUGGUCUGCAUGAACAAUAUGAAAAAAUAUUGUUAAAUAUAAGUUGAUCUAAAUAAAUACAAAUAUAUGCUUAUUGAUAUGUAUCACAAGAGGUGUUUGUGUAAUGAACUGAUUGGUCUGAGAUCCUAGCAUGAGCAAUUCUGACACAAAUGGCAACUUGGUGCUGACUGUUGGGACACACGAAGGUGUCCUUUGCUGAAUAUUUGCUACCAGAACAUCUAGGAAUGGAAGAUAUUCUUGGAAAUCUAGGCAAUGGGAUUUGCUCAAAAAUCCAUGGCAAAUACAUGACCAGAACCUGUACCUGAACCUGUUCCUGACUCGUGAGCUGAACUGGCAGGUGCCCUGUUCCAACAAGCCAGCCACAGUACAGGUGUAUUUUAAAUCACUGUGCUGAGUCAUUCUCAUUUAAAUGUAGGCUAAACCACCUGAGUGUACUGUCCUUGCUAACCUCCACAAACUCACUGUAAAGUUUUCCCUCUACAGAGCAGACAAAGCCCAUUGGCUUCAUCCCUCAUGUGAGCCACAGCCAGGCAGCUAUUGCCUAUUUGCUGCAUCAUGAUAUAUGAUUACAGACAGUUGUGAGUGUUUGUUUGCUUGCUAGGCUUGUUCCUUUAAAGAGGAAGAAUUAUCCUAUUAUCUCAAGCAGAAUCACACUUGUUCCACUCUAUCUUGCCUUCUAAACUUUAAAAGCUGAAAAGUCAUCUUUUAAGUGUCUUUUUUUAGCUGAAGGAUUUUCUUUUAUUUAAUUUCUAUACAUACGCAUUUUCCACUACACAUGCUGGAAUAGUAUCUGUUUGAUUUCCUGUUAUUGUACGUAAGUCUACAUUUUUUGUCAGUGCUUUGUUUUAAACAAAGCAGAGGAACAUAUAGCAAGUUUGUCCUGAAUUAAUGGCUUCCUGACAUUUGAUGAAAUUCUUUAUACCAACCCCACUUUUCCAUAUUCCCUUUCUGGAUUUCUUUUCGUUUGGCAGCUGGCAUGUAGCAGUUAGAUCCUAUCUGGUAGCUAGAGCAAAAAGAGUCCCAAAAUGUAGAAUUACUUUUAAGAGCUCUAAAUACUACCUAGACUUCAACUUUAAAAACCUGGAAGAAUCCCAAACCCAGGAGAAAGGAUGUAUGAUGUACAUUAUCGGGCUACUGUUACGGGGAAUAGUUUAAAUACUGAAUAAAACUCAAUGAAGACUUUCAGAAUUAUUUUUGUUCAGACUUUACAGUCUUGUGGGGAAUGCAGAGGUUAGCAAUGACACCUCAAACACUAUACUGUCUUGAUAGGACUUGAAGGUUAGAUCAGGGAAGUACUGGGUAACCUAUCAAAGUCCUGAAAUCAAAAGGCAUCUUUUCUAAAAUAAAUCUCGGUGGGGAGAAUGUACACAUUCUCAUGCUGCUGUUUGUUUUGUCAUAUUCACAGGUAAAAGAAAACUAUGGGCAAUGUCUGAUAAUGCGCCUGUCCUCUACUCAGACUUGCCCCCUUCAAUGACUAGAGUCACUUCUCAAUGACUGGAGGCUCUGCAGAGUGGGGAAGUGAAAACCAGAACCCGCCUCUCCGAAGAUAAAGUUGAAAAAAAGCAAAUGAGCAAAAACAAACAAACAAACAAAAAAUACUCCCUUAACCUGGUAUCAAACAUCCAUCCUAUCUUGUUUUGAAUUGAUCUGGAGAAAAUGGUAGUUGGCAAUGACUCUUAAAUGUAUGACCAAUCAUUUUGCUUUUUUAUAGGUACGUGAAAGACACAGCUUGCCAGAGUGGAAUUCAUGUACCUCCUGAAAUAUUUAAGACACCUGCAGUGAGAUUAUUUUUCCUCUUUUAAUUUGAAGAACCUGCAUUUCUCAGUUCUGAGGCAUUUCUCUGGCGGUAAUGUGUGCCAAAUAACUGGCAGUCUGGCACAACAGCACUUAUAUUCCAAGUAUUAUAAAAGAUAGAUAACAAGAAACCUGUUGCUUUUCUUUUCAGGGGAACUGAACCAUGAAUCUUAUAUGGCAUCAGUAGGUACAGAUAUAAACCCCUCUCCACUGUUUUUCUCUGCUUCUGUGACAUAAAAUUAAGGCCCAAAUUCUACAAAAUAUUUAACAGGAAAAAUCUCACAGCCCAAAAGCUCUCCUGAGGCAGUAUUUGCAUACAAUUUGUUGCAAGAUUAGGAUCAGAGGUUUUUUUCUCCCUAUUUUUCUACCUCAUUGGGUGUUAUUCUGGCAUUGCUAUGUUUUUCCAUUUACAUUGUUUUGACUAGAGUCAAAAUUGUUGUUACAUUUUAAGUCAGUGUCUGCUCUACUAAUUGAUGGGCUGCUAAAGAUCAGCCACGGAGAGUUAGAUUUCAGAGCAAGAAUCUGGCUCACAGAAGAAGUGAUUACAUGAGAUAUGUAAGGACCAAAGCCUGUAAGACCGAUUCAAACCCUAAAUGAUUUGACCAAGAGUACAAGGCUGUGAUACAUUCACAGUGAAAAUAUGGCACCUGGUCACAGUGUCUGGCUUCCACUUCUUCCAUCCAACUUUAGCUGUCCUCCUUUUGCAGAGGUCAAAGCAUUGUAUAAAUAUCAGUUAAGCAGAGUAAAAUCAGCUCCUUUAAAAUAUUUAGCUACCAUCUACCAGUGCUUUAUAAUAUGAAGAACAUACCUCUGCUCUCCUGGAACAUGGCAGGAAGCAGAAGUUUCUCUUUUGAAGGCAAUGAAGUUCCUCUGCAUCUGACUUCCAAGCAGUGUCUAACCUUGCUAUAUAUUUUAAUCUAACAGUAAGAUUUUUACUUCAGAACUUGUUUUCAUUCUGAAUCUGAGAGAGAAAGUGGGCACACUGUAGAUUUCUUGUAAAAAAUUUGUAUAACCAUGCUUAUCAAAUUUUAAACAGUAGCACCAGUAUUGCAAUACUUACUUUACCAUUAUAUUAAAAACAAAAGCAACUGAAAGGAAAGUCAGCACGAAAAGUUUUCCUCUUAUCAGAGUAAAUGAGAAUAUUGAUAUAAUGCAUUUCUGCUCUCUGCCUUUUAAAAUGGCAUUGAAAGCAACACAUUCUUACAAUAAAGUUUGCAUUUCACUCAAAGUGCAUUUUCCAACUGGAAAGUGUAAAGGCGAAUAUUUCAGGAUUGGUCCUACUUGAUGGUGCUUUGCAAAUACUCUCUAUUAACCUGAAUGACUGCGUAAGGUAGAGGAAAUCGGUAAACCUGGCCCUCUGAGAGCAGAGGAGCAAGUUGUUAAUGUUAAUGGGUAUCAAUUCACAUAUAUUUGCUUACAGAGAUCUGUGGCAGCUCUGAGUGUUUCACUGUGUCCAAUUUCUUCUUGCAUAAAUAAAGAAGAGCAUGAAUACUUGAAAAGAUGAAGGCUUCUCUGGAGCAGAAGAGCCAGAACUACUACAAGGAAAUUCUUGUGCUUCUUUAAUUACCCUCCUUUGCCCAUAGGUGGAAUUUCCACUCGGACAGCCCCAGCAAGCAGACUGCUAGCCUGGGAAGAGAUGUCUGUUUGUCUUUGUACAGCAAACACUGGCUGUGUUGUGCAGCUCAAGCUUCUGAUUCAAAUGAUUUCCUGAAUUCAUUCUGCUUCAUACCUCAGGGAAGGAAGAGAGGUUUUAUUUCUCCUGAGGAACAUUAAGAAGUAUUUCCCUCCCUGGGGAUGUGGAUUCUCCAUUCUGAAGAAGCCUGGGUCAUUGGAUGUCUCUUGCACAGAGAACACUUCGGAUGUCUCCGCCAGUGUUCCCAGAAAAGGGAGAUGUUUCCUGUCUGGUAGUACAGAGCAGCUGAUCAUUUCCAUGUUAUGCUGAACACAAAAACUGGACCCACUCUCAUAGUCCUCAGUGUGGGGCACCAUGUGAAUACAAAGAAGACAAUGACUGAAGGAGUUUUAAUCUUCCCUGGCCUCUCAGAUACCUUGGGGGACUCCUGGCCUUGGACCCCCUGCUCCCUGUCAUUUUUCUGACCACUUCUGGUGGGAUCCUGUGCUGUUUGCACUUAAAGUUACUGAAGUGAACCGAAAAUUGUAAGUCUCCAGCAAAGAUUAAAUGGCACAAAAAG